This 639-nucleotide ribosomal RNA is filed under the name uncultured Bacilli bacterium. RNAcentral describes it as "bacterial SSU rRNA". It matches the Rfam family "Bacterial small subunit ribosomal RNA", at positions 81 to 708 of the family's 1533-position model. The record is from RNAcentral. Lineage: Bacteria; Bacillati; Bacillota; Bacilli.
CUCUUCUUGGAAGAGUUGCGAACGGGUGAGUAACGCGUAGGUAACCUGCCUUGUAGCGGGGGAUAACUAUUGGAAACGAUAGCUAAUACCGCAUAACAAUGGGUGACCCAUGUCAUUCAUUUGAAAGGGGCAACUGCUCCACUACAAGAUGGACCUGCGUUGUAUUAGCUAGUAGGUGAGGUAACGGCUCACCUAGGCGACGAUACAUAGCCGACCUGAGAGGGUGAUCGGCCACACUGGGACUGAGACACGGCCCAGACUCCUACGGGAGGCAGCAGUAGGGAAUCUUCGGCAAUGGGGGCAACCCUGACCGAGCAACGCCGCGUGAGUGAAGAAGGUUUUCGGAUCGUAAAGCUCUGUUGUAAGUCAAGAACGAGUGUGAGAGUGGAAAGUUCACACUGUGACGGUAGCUUACCAGAAAGGGACGGCUAACUACGUGCCAGCAGCCGCGGUAAUACGUAGGUCCCGAGCGUUGUCCGGAUUUAUUGGGCGUAAAGCGAGCGCAGGCGGUUUGAUAAGUCUGAAGUUAAAGGCUGUGGCUCAACCAUAGUUCGCUUUGGAAACUGUCAAACUUGAGUGCAGAAGGGGAGAGUGGAAUUCCAUGUGUAGCGGUGAAAUGCGUAGAUAUAUGGAGGAACA